AACGAACGCUGGCGGCAUGCCUAACACAUGCGAGUCGAACGAGACCUUCGGGUCUAGUGGCGCACGGGUGCGUAACGCGUGGGAACCUGCCCUUAGGUUCGGAAUAACUCCCCGAAAGGGGUGCUAAUACCGGAUAAUGUCUUCGGACCAAAGAUUUAUCGCCUUUGGAUGGGCCCGCGUUGGAUUAGCUAGUUGGUAGGGUAAAAGCCUACCAAGGCGACGAUCCAUAGCUGGUCUGAGAGGAUGAUCAGCCACACUGAGACUGAGACACGGCCCAGACUCCUACGGGAGGCAGCAGUGGGGAAUAUUGGACAAUGGGCGAAAGCCUGAUCCAGCAAUGCCGCGUGAGUGAUGAAGGCCUGAGGGUUGUAAAGCUCUUUUACCCGGGAUGAUAAUGACAGUACCGGGAGAAUAAGCUCCGGCUAACUCCGUG
Molecule: ribosomal RNA, 433 nt
Filed under: uncultured bacterium
Lineage: Bacteria
Description: partial 16S ribosomal RNA
Rfam family: Bacterial small subunit ribosomal RNA
Source: RNAcentral